Molecule: RNA transcript, 1355 nt
Organism: Triticum dicoccoides
Lineage: Eukaryota; Viridiplantae; Streptophyta; Magnoliopsida; Poales; Poaceae
Exons: 4
Source: RefSeq, a predicted model, not a curated record
UCCAAGCGACGUUCGGUAGGCCCAUCACAUCCAUUUAACCCAGCCCAUCAUCGGUGUGGUCCUCAUUCGAUCCCCAAUUCGCUCCAACAAACCCUAGCCGCAUAGUGCAUCUCAAUCCACCCCCAAAUUGAACCAAGACACCCUAGCUAGCUGGUAAAGAUGGCAGAUGCAGUUGUUGAUUCGGUCACCCUGCUACUCGUGCCUUGCCCGGAUUGCGGCAGGAACGUCGUGACAUAUGUAGUUCGCCGCUGCCAGAACGGCGUCGAGCGUUUCUACAAGUGCCGCAGUCACAUCCACGUGGUGGAUGCGACUUCUAUAGGUGUCCGCAAGCUUACGCCGAGUCGCUUGCUGCUGCAGACCAAAGGUAAUGUAAGUUGCAGAGGUCUAUGCUUAUUAGCAGGGUUGGGAUUUUGCAGAGGAAAUUCGACUCCCCGUCUUUGUCUUGGAUGGCAAUUACAGUCGACUAGAACUGUCUUGGAUGGCAAUUACAGUCGACUAAAACUCGCUCUGUCUUAUCUGAAACGCACACGCACACGCACACGCACACGCACACGCACCUCUUAUCAGGGAAAUAACCAUAUUAAUUUAGGUGCAAGGCUCUGAGUGAAAUCAGGCUAUAUUAAUUCAGGUGCGACGGCGGCUCUGCAAGAAUGCCCUCUGAAAUUUACACAUAUGGUGAAUUAUGUUAGAAUAGGAAACCAAGUCUGCACUGGGUUUGGCAGCUUCUGGUGUUGGUCGAUGCAAUAAACAAUGGACACUGCUGGAAGGAAACCAAGAACAGGAAGUUUGCUCGAAUGAGCAAGCUAAGGGCUGCAAAUGUCCACAAGGCUUCAAGGGUGACGGCGUACACGGCUGCAAAGGAGUACCUACAAGAGGCAGGGUGAGGAAGGAGCAACUGUUGGAGUCACAAUAACAACAGUGGCGAUGGUGGGGAAGGAUCGAUUCCGCCACUCAGGUGGCGCGAUUCUGCCACUCAGGUGGCUAUUCCAUCGGCAAUGCUGCUAGCUCGAUCUACGGGGUGGCGAUUCUGCCACUCAGAUGGCCGGCGGCUGCAGCGGGCGGUGGAACUAGAAGAUUGAUCGCGUAGGUGGGUGGCGCCGCAGAUGGGCGCCAAAAUCGUGCUGGUGGGCGGCGGCUGCCCCCUUGCGAUGGCGCAGGCGACGGAUGGAGGAAGAAGCAGACGGGGACCUAUUUCAAACAGUCUUGGAAGUACGAGUCCUUGUUUUUUUUGCUAAAAUGCAGUCCACUAGGUGCGCGACAAUCUUUUUUGGACGGAUGGGUUAUUAUCUUGUGAAAUUCUGACCUGAAUUCCCUGUGCUUUGUGUAAAUACAGACCAAGAGAUUCUUUUGCCUUC